RNAcentral lists this ribosomal RNA (605 nucleotides) under uncultured fungus. Its description in RNAcentral is "eukaryotic LSU rRNA". It matches the Rfam family "Eukaryotic large subunit ribosomal RNA", at positions 23 to 641 of the family's 3401-position model. The record is from RNAcentral. Lineage: Eukaryota; Fungi.
ACCCGCUGAACUUAAGCAUAUCAAUAAGCGGAGGAAAAGAAACCAACAGGGAUUGCCCCAGUAACGGCGAGUGAAGCGGCAACAGCUCAAAUUUGAAAUCUGGCUCCUUCGGGGUCCGAGUUGUAAUUUGCAGAGGAUGUUUCGGUGCGGGCUCCUGGCCAAGUUCCUUGGAACAGGACGCGCUAAAGGGUGAGAGCCCCGUACCCGCCAGGGUCGCCCGCGCCAUGUGAAACUCCUUCGACGAGUCGAGUUGUUUGGGAAUGCAGCUCUAAAUGGGAGGUAAAUUUCUUCUAAAGCUAAAUACCGGCCAGAGACCGAUAGCGCACAAGUAGAGUGAUCGAAAGAUGAAAAGCACUUUGGAAAGAGAGUUAAACAGCACGUGAAAUUGUUGAAAGGGAAGCUCUUGCAACCAGACUUGACCGCCGUUGCUCAGCCGUCCUUUUGGACGGUGUACUCUUCGGCGGACAGGCCAGCGUCAGUUUGGGCGGCCGGACAAAGGCCUUGGGAAUCGUAGCUCCUCUCGGGGAGUGUUAUAGCCCAGGGCGUAAUGCGGCCAGCCCGGACUGAGGACCGCGCAUUUGCUAGGAUGCUGGCGUAAUGGUUGU